This 159-nucleotide ribosomal RNA is filed under the name uncultured fungus. RNAcentral's name for it is "partial contains internal transcribed spacer 1 and 5.8S ribosomal RNA". Lineage: Eukaryota; Fungi. The record is from RNAcentral.
GCACUCCCGACCGCGCGCGGCUUAGCGCUGCGCCGAAAGGAUGGUCAGUCCGUCGGCGGCACCCACCGAAAACCCAUAACCAAUUUUGAAAAGCCGUCUGAAAUUUAAAAGUCGAAUGACUAUAAAACUUUCAACAACGGAUCUCUUGGUUCCCGCAUC